Physcomitrium patens is the source of this 1348-nucleotide non-coding RNA. NCBI's taxonomy places the organism in Eukaryota, Viridiplantae, Streptophyta, Bryopsida, Funariales, Funariaceae. The record is from RefSeq and is a predicted model, not a curated record.
GAGACAAUGCUUGCAAACUGAGCAUGGAACUAUUAACAUAUAAAAUGCACACAUGAGGUUUAUGAAAUGAAGGGAGAGAAUGAUUCCCUCAUUCAAUUGUCAUGUGCACUUUGUAGGCCCAACUGUAACCCAUUAACACAAUUCACCUAACCUCUAGUUCGUGAAACCCUAAACUUGGCCCAGGUCAUUUCACUGUGAAUCAAUCACUGGUUGUUUCCAUACCAUUCCUGGUCACCAUAGAUGGAGAAAAACCAAGCAGGUAUUUACGUGGGCGAUGGAGUUGAGUGGGGCGAAUGAAUUUGUUUGUUGUCAUGUCGACGUAACGAAGGCCACGCUUCAUAGACAACCAUCCUUCGUUGGCUUGAAAUUGGAGACAUGGAGCGUAAUUGGAAUUGAAAAGUUUCCAGUAAUCGAAGGCGGAGUUUUCAAGAUUUAUUGUUUUGACAGUUCGUUAUCGGGAUACGAUUUCAUUCCAACAAUGUGUCUUGGAGUGCGAGGAGGGCCGGCUUUAUAUGGACAUUAGAGGAUGUUACAUUUGAAGUAUUAUUUGCAGGAAGUUCGACACAGUCAAGUUCAAUACAUACGGGACCGGUCCUUGACGUGCGUUUCUGUCAAUACUCUGACAUGAAGCUUACAUGUAACUAUCAUACACAGCCAUCUGCCCGGCGAGGUUGGAUCGACAGACUGGUAAGGUUCAUGUGUUGAUGGCUGUGUAUGAUGAAUCUGGGUCUUAUCUCUCAUACGUCACUUUGGUAUGCUCAAGGAUAGAGAUUACUGGAUACAAAGGGCGAUGCCAGAACAGGAGUACCAAAGAAUGUGGCUUUCCCCAUUCAAUUUCUUCACAAGACAGAGUUCAAUUUCCAACUUGUGAUUUUCAACUGGAGAGGCUGUUUUCAGAAGUUUGUCGAGAAUUCUGUACCCAAAAACGCAAGAAAACCAGGACUGGAAAAUUACGUGCUCGAGCUAUCACGACUUAUUUUGUACUGAAGCGUUGUCCGUCAGUCUCCACCAUCGGUACUAGCCUUUCAUCCAGCUUUUUCAAUAGCGUAAUACCUUCCACCAUUUCACUUCCACAAAUAAUGCAUGAAACCACAGUCGCAGUCGCCGUCUGCAAAGAAUCAUAUCACAAGAGAUCAAGUGUUGCAGUUGUACCGCAGCAAGAUGUGUCGUAAACAUGUGAAGAAUGUGUACCCCUAGUGUAUGAACGUAGAAAAUGAUCUGGUUGAAGCUAGUGAAAAGUUUACUUGUACUAGGGAUACCAUGGGAGAUAGCUUUCAUCAAAUGAUGCUACGUCACACAUCAAAAUCCUCGAAUGAAUGCAGACAUCCCCUGAUAGUAUUUACAUUGA